AUCCAACUGAAGAGUCCCAACUAAAACGAAACGUACAUCCUGAAU
Molecule: non-coding RNA, 45 nt
Filed under: Schistosoma haematobium
Lineage: Eukaryota; Metazoa; Platyhelminthes; Trematoda; Strigeidida; Schistosomatidae
Source: RNAcentral